Molecule: long non-coding RNA, 398 nt
Filed under: Homo sapiens (human)
Lineage: Eukaryota; Metazoa; Chordata; Mammalia; Primates; Hominidae
Description: HSALNT0065927
Source: RNAcentral
CCUUAGACUCCUGAGCCUGCAUAACUUGUACCACAACCCAGAGUGGAGGGAAGUUAACAUCCUAUGGGGCAACCUUCAGCUAUUGGAAGACAGGAGCCAGGGGAUAGAUAGCCCUUUACUCCCAAGUGAUCUGGAGAUGCAUUUCAUCCGGCUUCUCAGAUGGUUUUCUGGGACUGAACAACCCUUCACCAGCGGAGAUGGCCAACUUGACAAGACCUCCUUCCAUUGGAUUUCCCUCCUGCUUUGCUGUGCUCCCUCUGCCUUACUCCAGCUUUCUGAGGUCAUGCUCCCCAGUCAAAUACUAUCACAUAAACCUCUGCCUUGACUUCUGCUUUCUGAAAACACAGGCUAAGCUAACUGGCACCCUCGACAGGCUCUGGGCCCAACCACGGAAUCUU